GACGAACGCUGGCGGCGUGCUUAACACAUGCAAGUCGAACGGUAAGGCCCUUCGGGGUACACGAGUGGCGAACGGGUGAGUAACACGUGGGUGAUCUGCCCUGCACUUUGGGAUAAGCCUGGGAAACUGGGUCUAAUACCGAAUAUGACCAUGGACUUCACGGUUUGUGGUGGAAAGCUUUUGCGGUGUGGGAUGGGCCCGCGGCCUAUCAGCUUGUUGGUGGGGUAAUGGCCUACCAAGGCGACGACGGGGUAGCCGGCCUGAGAGGGUGACCGGCCACACUGGGACUGAGAUACGGCCCAGACUCCUACCGGGAGGCAGCAGUGGGAAGUAUUGCACAAUGGGCGCAAGCCUGAUGCAGCGACGCCGCGUGGGGGAUGACGGCCUCGGUUGUAACCGUACUUUCUACCAGGACGAGCGAGAGUGACGGUACCU
This 435-nucleotide ribosomal RNA is filed under the name uncultured bacterium. RNAcentral's name for it is "bacterial SSU rRNA". It matches the Rfam family "Bacterial small subunit ribosomal RNA", at positions 28 to 466 of the family's 1533-position model. The record is from RNAcentral.